RNAcentral lists this ribosomal RNA (497 nucleotides) under uncultured bacterium. RNAcentral's name for it is "partial 16S ribosomal RNA". It matches the Rfam family "Bacterial small subunit ribosomal RNA", at positions 28 to 507 of the family's 1533-position model. The record is from RNAcentral.
GAUGAACGCUGGCGGCGUGCCUAAUACAUGCAAGUCGAGCGAACAGACGAGGAGCUUGCUCCUCUGACGUUAGCGGCGGACGGGUGAGUAACACGUGGAUAACCUACCUAUAAGACUGGGAUAACUUCGGGAAACCGGAGCUAAUACCGGAUAAUAUAUUGAACCGCAUGGUUCAAUAGUGAAAGACGGUUUUGCUGUCACUUAUAGAUGGAUCCGCGCCGCAUUAGCUAGUUGGUAAGGUAACGGCUUACCAAGGCAACGAUGCGUAGCCGACCUGAGAGGGUGAUCGGCCACACUGGAACUGAGACACGGUCCAGACUCUUACGGGAGGCAGCAGUAGGGAAUCUUCCGCAAUGGGCGAAAGCUUGACGGAGCAACGCCGCGUGAGUGAUGAAGGUCUUCGGAUCGUAAAACUCUGUUAUUAGGGAAGAACAAAUGUGUAAGUAACUAUGCACGUCUUGACGGUACCUAAUCAGAAAGCCACGGCUAACUACGUG